CGUAGAACACUAAAGCUUUCUUGAUACCAGCUUUACGCCCCUCUGAUGUGAUAAUUUUAUCGGUACCAGUGGCCUUCCAAUACCCGGACCCUGCAACCCGAUUGGGUCGGGACCCGUUUGGAUACUUGCGGUCUCUGGGACUAAAAAAGUACCAUUCUUUCUCACCGAAAAUUGCUUUGCUUGGUAGGACCCAUGGAUCAAACUUGUACAAAUCAAUUUCACCAAUGAUUU
This 231-nucleotide unclassified non-coding RNA is filed under the name Hevea brasiliensis (rubber tree). The record is from RNAcentral. Lineage: Eukaryota; Viridiplantae; Streptophyta; Magnoliopsida; Malpighiales; Euphorbiaceae.